GGUUGAGCUCGCGUCUGAUUAGCUAGUUGGUGAGGUAAUGGCUCACCAAGGCUUCGAUCAGUAGCUGGUCUGAGAGGAUGAUCAGCCACACUGGGACUGAGACACGGCCCAGACUCCUACGGGAGGCAGCAGUGGGGAAUUUUCCGCAAUGGGCGAAAGCCUGACGGAGCAACGCCGCGUGAGGGACGAAGGCCUCUGGGCUGUAAACCUCUUUUCUCAAGGAAGAAGAUAUGACGGUACUUGAGGAAUAAGCCACGGCUAAUUCCGUGCCAGCAGCCGCGGUAAUACGGGAGUGGCAAGCGUUAUCCGGAAUUAUUGGGCGUAAAGCGUCCGCAGGCGGCUUUUCAAGUCUGCUGUUAAAGCGUGGAGCUUAACUCCAUCAUGGCAGUGGAAACUGAAAGGCUUGAGUAUGGUAGGGGCAGAGGGAAUUCCCGGUGUAGCGGUGAAAUGCGUAGAUAUCGGGAAGAACACCAGUGGCGAAGGCGCUCUGCUGGGCCAUUACUGACGCUCAUGGACGAAAGCCAGGGGAGCGAAAGGGAUUAGAUACCCCUGUAGUCCUGGCCGUAAACGAUGAACACUAGGUGUCGGGGGAAUCGACCCCUUCGGUGUCGUAGCUAACGCGUUAAGUGUUCCGCCUGGGGAGUACGCACGCAAGUGUGAAACUCAAAGGAAUUGACGGGGGCCCGCACAAGCGGUGGAGUAUGUGGUUUAUUUCGAUGCAACGCGAGGAACCUUACCAGGGUUUGACAUCCUGCGAACCUCUUAGAAAUUUGAGGGUGCCUUCGGGAAUGCAGUGACAGGUGGUGCAUGGCUGUCGUCAGCUCGUGUCGUGAGAUGUUGGGUUAAGUCCCGCAACGAGCGCAACCCACGUUUUUAGUUGCCAGCAUUUAGUUGGGCACUCUAGAAAGACCGCCGGUGAUAAACCGGAGGAAGGUGUGGAUGACGUCAAGUCAUCAUGCCCCUUACACCCUGGGCUACACACGUACUACAAUGCUACGGACAAAGGUCAGCAAACUCGCGAGAGCUAGCAAAUCCCAUAAACCGUGGCUCAGUUCAGAUCGUAGGCUGCAACUCGCCUACGUGAAGUAGGAAUCGCUAGUAAUCGCAGGUCAGCAUACUGCGGUGAAUACGUUCCCGGGCCUUGUACACACCGCCCGUCACACCAUGGAAGUUGGCCAUGCCCGAAGUCGUUACUCCAACCCUUGUGGAGGAGGACGCCGAAGGUGGGGCUAAUGACUGGGGUGAAGUCGUAACAAGGUAACCGUA
RNAcentral lists this ribosomal RNA (1266 nucleotides) under uncultured bacterium. RNAcentral describes it as "bacterial SSU rRNA". It matches the Rfam family "Bacterial small subunit ribosomal RNA", at positions 223 to 1504 of the family's 1533-position model. The record is from RNAcentral.